RNAcentral lists this ribosomal RNA (517 nucleotides) under Polyporoletus sublividus. RNAcentral's name for it is "partial 16S small subunit ribosomal RNA". It matches the Rfam family "Bacterial small subunit ribosomal RNA", at positions 409 to 869 of the family's 1533-position model. Lineage: Eukaryota; Fungi; Basidiomycota; Agaricomycetes; Russulales; Albatrellaceae. The record is from RNAcentral.
UGAACUAGCUAACUGAAAUCAAUCCAAAAUAUAAACAAAAAGAUUUGGUUGAAAAUGUAAGAAGAAAAUAAUGAUAUUAUCUUACGUUUAGUGUCGUCUAAAACCGGUGCCAGAAGACUCGGUAAGGCCGGAGACGCAAACGUUAGUCAUCCUUAUCAGGCGUAAAGGGUUUGUAGGCUGCUUUGAAAGUUUCUAUAAUUUUAAAAUAAAUCCACAAUAAGAAAACUGAAAAGACUUAACUCUUAUAUAUAAUUUAAAUUAAUAUUAAUAUAAAUAGAAAUAAAUUAAAGCUAGAAUCUAAUAGAGGUUAUAUUGAAUAAUUCUUAGUUUAGGUCUAAAAUCCUAAGAGAUUAAGGAGAAUAUUAAAGGCGAAGGCCUCUCUCCAAUUAAAGAUUGACGCUGAGAAACGAAGGUGAGGAAAGGAAAUAGGAUUAGAUACCCAAACUACCCCUCACUGUCAACGAUGAAUGAUAGUCAUUAGUGCAAAUUAGUGACGUAGUUAACACGAUUAUCAUUC